AACGUAGGACACAAGCGUUAUCCGGAGUUACUGGGCGUAAAGGGCGUGUAGGCGGAUUGGUAAGUCUACUCUGAAAGCUCCUGGCUAAACUGGGAGAGGCGAGUGGAGACUGUCGGUCUAGAGUGAGGAAGAGGAAAGUGGAAUUCCGCGUGUAGUGGUGAAAUGCGUAGAGAUGCGGAGGAACACCAGUGGCGAAAGCGGCUUUCUGGUCCUUAACUGACGCUGAGGCGCGAAAGCAUGGGGAGCGAACGGG
This 253-nucleotide ribosomal RNA is filed under the name uncultured bacterium. RNAcentral's name for it is "partial 16S ribosomal RNA". It matches the Rfam family "Bacterial small subunit ribosomal RNA", at positions 524 to 776 of the family's 1533-position model. The record is from RNAcentral.